CGCCAAAUUGGGAAGGCCCGUAUAGGGUUCGCUGGGUAAACCGACCUGGCUCCUACCAGUUGGAGACCCUAGAUGGUCGAGAAAUUCCGAGGAGCUGGAAUUCCGCUAACCUGCGGGUGUAUCACCAGUAGAGCGACAAAGCCAGGAAGACAGUUCGAAAAAUGUACAAUUCUUUUCAUUUCAAUAAUUCCUGGUUACAACGGUGUGUUCGUGUGAUUACAAAGAAUUCCCAAAGGGGAAUUGGGGAGUAAAGAAAACAAGGAAGAGGUGGAGACUCCGUGGAGCUGAAGAUCUGGGACCCCGAACCCUCCAUCCGAAGCAGCUGCAAUCCCACCGGGCGUGGGUGCUUCUCCCCGG
RNAcentral lists this long non-coding RNA (357 nucleotides) under Phoenix dactylifera (date palm). Its description in RNAcentral is "long non-coding RNA (PDAC_LNC019671)". The record is from RNAcentral. Lineage: Eukaryota; Viridiplantae; Streptophyta; Magnoliopsida; Arecales; Arecaceae.